Long non-coding RNA from Centrocercus urophasianus (Greater sage-grouse), 957 nucleotides. RefSeq lists it as uncharacterized. The transcript is spliced from 3 exons. The record is from RefSeq and is a predicted model, not a curated record. Lineage: Eukaryota; Metazoa; Chordata; Aves; Galliformes; Phasianidae.
GAAAAGCACAAGCGACUCGCAGCCGCGCAAAAAGGUCCCGCCUCGGGAUGCGCUGGGGCGGCUGCCGCGGCUGCGCCCCUUGUAUCAGUACAUCAACCUCAGCACGGAGCUGAUGCGCCCAGCAGAAGAGGAGGCUCAGCACCAGCAGCCCACAGCUGAUGAGUGCUCAGAGCCAAGGACCAGCUGAGUUCCCACCCUUUAGAAAAGCACGUCAGUACAUUUCUUUCUGUCAGUUUGAAACUAUUUUGAAAGGAAAUAAAUACCUGAAGGUAAAUGCCUCAUUUAGAAACUGAGCAAAGAACCCAGCAAACCCAGGAAGAUUUUGCUCCUCAGCUUGCACCUUCCAGCUAUUUCUACAACCAGACAGGCAGAAAAAGAUCUCAUUCAUCACAACAGUCAGUGUGGGAGGCCCACGAUAGACAGGGUGUCUCUAGAGCCAGUGACUCCAGAACAGCUUUAGAAUGAGAGAAAAAGCAAAGAGGUGGGCAUAGCUCUGUGCUGUCCAAGCAAAGGGAGCUGCCAUCCUUUUCUCACCAACGGGGAAAGCGAGUCCUGUCAGCAGAUCCAUCUCCUACUUUGUCACACCAAGUGAUCAGCCCCAGCUGGAAGCUCUGUCAUGGAGGCUUCAGCUCAGCCAAAUCACAUGCAAGCACCCAGCUACAUGAAGAACACCCUGAACAAACAAUCUAUUUUGUUGUUUAUUUCUGUAGAAAACAAGUCAGACACUUGUCAGGAAGGACCAGCUUAUGAAACAGUGGUUUGCGUGUUAACGUACAUAAAUACACAGGGUUACCACUUGAGUGGGAAAUACAUUAAAAAAAGCUUUCAAGUACACAAAGUACAUGUCGUACAAUUGUACUGUCCCUAUCACAUACCUGCCUCAGAGAGGAACUCCUCUCCAAAUGAACACACUGCCACCCACCAGCUGCCAACAGCCACGAGCUGCAGGAGGGCAGG